AGCUGUGUUGUGUGGUUUCUGCGGUGUCCGGCGCGCCAGCGUCUACCUCGGGACAUCGCUCUCCAUAGUGCAAAAACAGCUUCGCGCUCAGCUCGGGUCAGGAUGGAGAGAAGGAGGGAAGAUGCUCCGACGCUGUAGUAGUUGGUUUCAGCAUAAAUUCCAAAUUCCUGGGAGGAAUCUGCAUGGCCAUCUUGUGCCACAGACCGAGGGGCAUAGGUGGAGCGCAGUUGGCCGAGAUACUUUUCCUGACAUCGAAGACACAGUCUCAUGGGGAAAAUGGUAGUAAUUUUAAUAAUCAGCACACAAGCUGUGCGAGCAGAGAGCGCCUGGCAGCGAGUCAGUUCCUGGUGCGGCUCAGCUGGAGUGACCCUGAUGAGAGCCCAGACUCCGGUCCCGGUGUGGGAUUCACCAACACUUUGAGUGUGGGCUCAGUCUCUCUGCUACUACUGGAAUGUUGGCCUGGAAAGCUGCUCGCCCGGAGCUGAAUGCAUUGUUAUUUCACUAUCUGAGCCAGCAAGAGCCAGUUUUACAAAUUUCUAACAGAAGGCAUAAAAGGAAUUCCAACAGAAACUGAUUUUUCCCUUUUUAAAAAAAUUCUUGACUUGGGCCAAAUUAGUAGGGACUGACAUAUUUGAAGUGCUUAGUGUACAUACUGUUGUAUUCCUUUGAAAUUUAAUCUUGUAGUCACUGCUCCUGGAAGAAAUAUAUUAAAGUUUAUUGAC
Capra hircus (goat) is the source of this 722-nucleotide long non-coding RNA. Lineage: Eukaryota; Metazoa; Chordata; Mammalia; Artiodactyla; Bovidae. The record is from Ensembl.